CGCUUUCGCACCUCAGUGUCAGUAUCAGUCCAGGUGGUCGCCUUCGCCACUGGUGUUCCUUCCUAUAUCUACGCAUUUCACCGCUACACAGGAAAUUCCACCACCCUCUACCAUACUCUAGCUUGUCAGUUUUGAAUGCAGUUCCCAGGUUGAGCCCGGGGCUUUCACAUCCAACUUAACAAACCACCUACGCGCGCUUUACGCCCAGUAAUUCCGAUUAACGCUUGCACCCUCUGUAUUACCGCGGCUGCUGGCACAGAGUUAGCCGGUGCUUAUUCUGUCGGUAACGUCAAAAUUGCAGAGUAUUAAUCUACAACCCUUCCUCCCAACUUAAAGUGCUUUACAAUCCGAAGACCUUCUUCACACACGCGGCAUGGCUGGAUCAGGCUUUCGCCCAUUGUCCAAUAUUCCCCACUGCUGCCUCCCGUAGGAGUCUGGACCGUGUCUCAGUUCCAGUGUGACUGAUCAUCCUCUCAGACCAGUUACGGAUCGUCGCCUUGGUGAGCCAUUACCUCACCAACUAGCUAAUCCGACCUAGGCUCAUCUGAUAGCGCAAGGCCCGAAGGUCCCCUGCUUUCUCCCGUAGGACGUAUGCGGUAUUAGCGUUCCUUUCGAAACGUUGUCCCCCACUACCAGGCAGAUUCCUAGGCAUUACUCACCCGUCCGCCGCUGAAUUCAGGAGCAAGCUCCUGUCAUCCGCUCGACUUGCAUGUGUUAGGCCUGCCGCCAGCGUUCAAU
Molecule: ribosomal RNA, 738 nt
Filed under: Pseudomonas jessenii
Lineage: Bacteria; Pseudomonadati; Pseudomonadota; Gammaproteobacteria; Pseudomonadales; Pseudomonadaceae
Description: partial 16S rRNA
Source: RNAcentral